Molecule: non-coding RNA, 3802 nt
Organism: Podarcis lilfordi (Lilford's wall lizard)
Lineage: Eukaryota; Metazoa; Chordata; Lepidosauria; Squamata; Lacertidae
Source: the annotation of a GenBank genome assembly
GGAAGGAGGCGAUAGAUUUUUACCAUGUUCAAAAGAGGACAUGUAGGACAUGUUGCUGUAAGGGACAUUGGUUUAAUUAUUAGCUCUCUUCCCCGUGCCUAGGAUCAGGCGGAUAAGGGCUCUGUGCAGGUGGGACUCCUUAGAAUCAUAGAGUUGGAAGAGACCACAAGGGCCAUCGAGUCCAACCCCCUGCCAAGCAGGAAACACCAUCAGAGCACUCCUGACAUAUGGUUGUCAAGCCUCUGCUUAAAGACCUCCAAAGAAGGAGACUCCACCACACUCCUUGGCAGCAAAUUCCACUGUCGAACAGCUCUUACUGUCAGGAAGUUCUUCCUAAUGUUUAGGUGGAAUCUUCUUUCUUGUAGUUUGGAUCCAUUGCUCCGUGUCCGCUUCUCUGGAGCAGCAGAAAACAACCUUUCUCCCUCCUCUAUGUGACAUCCUUUUAUAUAUUUGAACAUGGCUAUCAUAUCACCCCUUAACCUCCUCUUCUCCAGGCUGAACAUGCCCAGCUCCCUUAGCCGUUCCUCAUAAGGCAUCGUUUCCAGGCCUUUGACCAUUUUGGUUGCCCUCCUCUGGACACGUUCCAGUUUGUCAGUGUCCUUCUUGAACUGUGGUGCCCAGAACUGGACACAGUACUCCAGGUGAGGUCUGACCAGAGCAGAAUACAGUGGCACUAUUACUUCCCUUGAUCUAGAUGCUAUACUCCUAUUGAUGCAGCCCAGAGACAUCGAAACUGAGCUGGCUGUUGGUGGCAAGCUGUGGGAAUGGCAAUGGGCAUACCCAGUUAUUUCAAUGAAAGAGGGGUGAGAAUCCUCAGUCCUGUGAACAAAACACAGCCCUUGGUCCCUUUCUAUGCAACCCAGGUGUCAGGGUUGGAGUCAUACACAGGUCAGCACAAAAGGUUCUGUGCUGGGAGCCUGAAACCUCUGGCAUGACCUUCUCACAGAAGUUCUCCUUCAACUCCAUCCACUGUGGAAGUUUUCCCUGAGCCCAGGAGGAUCUUUGUUCCUUAUUAUGAAUUCCGAGGACGUCCCUCCUGCAGCUCUUUUUCUGCUAACUCACCCAAAGCAGCCGAGCUCGGGAACCUGAAGUGACCCCUCUCUCAAAACAAAAGCUCCUCUGAGCAACUGUGGGCAACUGAACAACAGCCUUUGAGCAAGGAACCGGAUUCUUUUGGAAAUUGCUCUCUGCCACAGUCAUCCUCUUCUGUUCUCUCUCCAGCCGUCUUUGCGCGUCAAUUUAUAAAGUGCAAAGGGAGUUCAUCGCAACAAAAGCCCUCCCAAGUUUCUAGAACACAAUCAUGCUUUUUUUAGCGGCGCCGCUUUUUCUGGUGGGAGAGCGACGCCUUUUCCUCCCACAGGAGUUUUAAAUGGUGUCUUCGACCUUCAUUCAUUCCCUCUCUCUGUGAGGUUUCCCCUCACAGUCUUCUUCAGAGGAUCAGAUCAAGGAUUCGGAGUCAGAAGGAGAAUUGAACUCAAUGCCAGCUCUGGAUGCAGGCCGAGUCCAUGGUAGCGGCGCCCUUUCAGCCUGAAGGUGUCAAACUGCCAUGUUCUGAGUCCGAGGACUCCAUGGCAGAAGCCACACAACAACCAGAGUCUCUCCCACACUCCAUUGGAGUAUAAGAUGGCUGGAGCAGGCUGGAGCCCUUUGACUGAAAAGGUACCUUUCAGUGAAGGUAAAGGUAAAGGGACCCCUGAAUAUUAGGUCCAGUCGUGACCGACUCUGGGGUUGCGGUGCUCAUCUCGCUUUACUGGCCGAGGGAGCCGGUGUACAGCUUCCGGGUCAUGUGGCCAGCAUGACUAAGCCUCUUCUGGUGAAACCAGAGCAGCGCACGGAAAUGCCGUUUACCUUCCCACCGGAGCGGUACCUAUUUAUCUACUUGAACUUUUGAUGUGCUUUUGAACUGCUAGAUUGGCAGGAGCAGGGACCAAGCAAUGGGAGCUCACCCCGUUGCGGGGAUUCAAACCGCUGACCUUCUGAUCAGCAAGUCCUAGGCUCUGUGGUUUAACCCACAGUGCCACCCGUGUCCAUUCAGUGAAGGAGGAGCUUGCAAUUAGGACAGAGGAAGGAAGGAAGGAAGGAAGGAGACUGUCACUGAAACAACAUCAACACUCUGCUCAUGUUUAGUAUUCAGCCUGAGUCAGGCACAAGGAUGCUUUUCCUCAGAGGAAGGUUCCAGAAGGACUGAGUUCAAGGCUCUCUGCAGCUACAUACUUCCAUGUGCUGCAUGUUGGUGUAAUGUGAACAAUGGGUUAAAUUACACAGUGCUUGGCUCAUGUACUGAGCCAGCACCCCCACACCCCCACGGAAGACCUCUGCAGGUGAUUGCAUGCUCACACUGGCGAGCGAUGGCACGCACUACAUCCCAUGCUGCAAAUUCAAACACGCGCAUGUGGUUGUUGGAAGGUCAGGCAAGAGAGCGCAUGCGCCUCCAGAUUCCUGCAGGGCGAGUGGGCAAGCUCAGCGGCGAAGGCUCUCGUCCUGGGCCCAGCCCCCAAGCCAGCGCCAUCAGAUCAGAUUGUGAGGACAGUUGCCUUCAGCCGAGAUUUUCCAAAGCAUAUCUGCAUGCAUCCAUUUCACAGAGGAGCAGAAACCCAUCAAUCCUGUUCUGUCUGUAAGCAGUACUCUUCUAUGAGUGAGCUCCAGACCUGUGAUUGGCCCGUGGGAGACCACCUGACUUUAGCAAAUGGGAAAUGAGAAUGGAGAGGUGCGACCUACUUCUAAAUGUGUCUUCAAGCCCCAAGGUAAACAUUGUGAACGCUCCAGUGAGAGGGCAAUGUGGUGGCAUCUUAUCUCCCUCCCCCUCCUGCUCCCAUUCCUGAUUUUCAUCUCAAUUCCGGCAGCCACAGAAAACCACCAGAGGUUGCAUCUCUAAGGGCCAAAAGCAGACGGCGUGUUUUUUAAAGCUACAAAAUGCUGCUUGGCGUGAUGUGACUGUUCUCUUCCAAGAAAGCUUUGAGGCUCAGAAUAAAAGAGACCUGUUUUUAGGAAUGGGGGGGGGGGCAGUCAGUUUCUUUUCAUUUCUCAUUUUCCCACCAUAAAGAUCAGUCUGCUACAUCUCUGCAACAGUUUGUGUUUGUGAAUUCUUAUCUUCUUCUUUUUUAUGUCCUCACAAAGAUUUGCCAACAUUUCAGUGCAAUUUUCUCCCAAUAGACACAUUUUCGUAUGCAGUUUUGCCUAUUGUACACAUUCCCCCAAAUAUAAUGGUAUUUUUGUGCAUUGUUUUUCACUAUUAUAUGCACUCUUAGGCACAGACUACCCUAGUGUAUGCACAUUGUGUCAAAUUACGUGGCUGGAGAUGUUCAUUGCAAAAUUCAGAGAAGUGUGAAUUUCAAAGGAUAGCUCUGUUUUAGUUUCCAUGAUGAUCAGAAAGUGCCAGUAGAUAAGUUUGCCUUUAAAUGAAAAUAGAAUCUAAUUUCUCCUCCAUCCCUGAUUUGCUGCCUUACUCUGGUCUGUCCAGCUGAGAAAAAAAACUAACUAAAAACACGUCCUGAACUUUUCUGAAUAGCCUCGAUUCCUCAGGCAGUGAAAUUCAGAAUGUGAAUUGAUUUUCUUUUUUUAAUAGGACAGCUAUUGUGUCAACGUAGAAACAUCACAUUAAUAAAAAAAAAGGCAUAUCAAAACAGUGGAAGGCAUAAAGAGAAAAAUAAAAUAAACACAUCGAUGUUAUCGAUCCCAGAGAAGGCUGGUUGAUGAGAUGCCGUGUGUGUGUUCUUCAAAAUGAUGACACCGGCAUACCACUUUGAAAACAUUUGCCAAGAAAACCUCACUGUGGUUCCACCUCUCUCUCACACUCCCCCCC